Manis pentadactyla (Chinese pangolin) is the source of this 7770-nucleotide long non-coding RNA. RefSeq lists it as uncharacterized. The transcript is spliced from 2 exons. The record is from RefSeq and is a predicted model, not a curated record. NCBI's taxonomy places the organism in Eukaryota, Metazoa, Chordata, Mammalia, Pholidota, Manidae.
AAAGGCGCUUCCUUGCGCUGGGUGAAUUUUGUGUCCUUUGCCAACUCAUGACCGUUGAACCACAGAUGAGAGAUCUGGGAGGUCAGGUCAGCGUUUAUCGAGCACCUGCUGCAUGCCUGGCUUUGGGAAAGGCUGAGCGGCCCUCAGAGAGGCUUGUGGGGCAUUAGCAGUCAGUCAGGAAGAGGGCUCCACUUUGCUGAGGGCGGGCUGAACUGCAGUGCCAGGAUGACACCCCCAGAGUUCACAGCAGCUCCCACUGGGGGGUAACCAGAGCCCCCCUGCCCCUGUCACUAAGCUGGGGUUUUGAGUUAUUCUCAGAGCUGACCUUCCUCUGAACCGCGGCCGCUGUCUGUAAAGGCCAAGGGGCGGGGUGAGGCAGGAGGUGUGACUGCAGGCCUGAAAAGGAGAGCUGGAGGGCAGCAGAGAAGAGGCGCCAGGCCUGGGUGGGGCCUUGCCAGGCAGCUUGUAGAGCAAACUUGCUGGCAUGGCAGAGCUGCAAGCCACUCUGACAACAGAUGUCACAUGGACUCAUCUCUGCUAGAGCCACAGCUGGUGCCCAGCACUGAGUAGGAGCUUUCCUUGCCGCUGGCCUCUGAGUGCAGCGUGGUGUGCAAAGGGCUCUGGCUUUGGAAUGCAGGGAAGGCUUAGGAUGCAGGGUACAGUCUUGGGUGUUGUGAAUAUAGAGGGCAUAGCUCUAACACAUGACCGUGGCCGGGGCACCAAAGAGGGCACUGUCUUGGCGUUCCCAUGGGGACUGCUUCCAGGCCCUUAGACGAAGCUCUUCCUUGGUGGAGGAUACCCACAGAUGUAACCUCCAGAAGUCUUGGAGUCUGGGACAGAAUUAAGCCCUAAUGCCUAAGGGAUCUCUUGUGUGUAAUGAGGUAACUUCUUUCUAGAAUGGGACUAGUUAAUGUACCAUCCUUGGAAGAACUGAGAAGUCACUCAAAUCAUUUUUUGUGUCCUGUGGCUCAGAUGAGAAACCCCGGUUGAGAGAGCUUCUAACAAAUGUUGUGUGCCUGAUAAAGGAGGCAGGUACCUCCCACCUCCUCCCUGGGACCUGGAGCCUGAGCAGGUGGCUGUCAGGGACAUGUGGCUGCCCCUGUUUGCCAGGGAGCCCCACAGAGCAGAGCUGGGCCCCAGUGUGGGCUCUCAUUGCCUGCAACAGCCAAGCGUGCAGAGAUGAGUUGGACUGUGGCUUAGGGAGAGGCCUGGGUCUCCUGGGUAAGGCCUGGAAUAAUAGUUGUGCACCCGAACAUGGGGGCACGACUGGCGGUGGGCACAGUUGAGGCCUCCUGGGCCAGGCCCGACAUACUGUGUACCACAGUGGCUGGAGGAGAGACCUGCCUGGUCACUAAAAGUAUAUAUUGCUGAAUCGAGAAGUGACAUCUGAGGAGCCAGGGACAGGGGCAGAUGAGAUUUCUGGAGCUAGGGUGUCAGGUGAGAUACAGGGGUCAGAACAUGUAGGGAUACUGCGCUGGCUCUGAGGUAAGAUCAGAAGAGUCCAGUCUGACAGAGGUAGGUACAUGCGGUGAGGCCUGGUCAGCUGGGGGCAGCCCUGGGGCAGCCUCCCGUGCUGGAAUUGGCAGAGGUAUGGUGGGAACUGUGAGGUGUUUCAGAGUCAGGCUCAGCCGGAGUCGGCACACAGUCGAGAGUAAUUGGGCUGGUGAGGUCUGAAGAGGGACCAGGACAGGUACAGGAGAGUUCUGGGGAGCCAAGACAAGUAGAGGUGCAGACGAGGUCUCUGAAUUCUCGAGGGGACACAGUAUUUAAACAUGAUUCUGUUACCUGAGGUCUGAGGAUCCAGUCACGUACAGGUACUUAACCUGGGUCUGGGAGUUGAGGUUUAGAUCUGGGGCAUGGAGCAGCUGUAGGCGCUGGAGAGGGAGCCUCAGGAAGUGGGUGGCCGAGCACUCAGGAGGCAGACUCAGGGUUAGGCAGGCCCGGGUACUUCCCCUGAGCCACCCCGACCAGGUGUGAUGGCCGGAGCUCAGGCUGUUACCGCGGUCUCCCAGGAUCCAUGACCAGCCCAAGGCGUGGUCUGUGGCAUUGUGCCGUGGCUGGGGUGGGGUUUGAGGAGCCCAGGGGUCAGGCAGGUUAUAAAAGCUGAAGACUGGGUAGUGAGGCCUGGGGCAGGUGAAGAACAGACAGGUGGGCUAAGGAGCUCCGUGGGUAAGGUGUGGUCCGGGGCUCCUGGAAGACGAGAUGUCCAAGGCCCAGGCCGCUCAGAAACUUGCUCCAGUGGGCUCUCGCCAGGCUUCCGGCGGACUGAGGUAAGCAGCCAGGAGUGUGUCAGGUCCGAGGGGAGUGUCUGUAGCGUCUGCCGAGGGUGCUCCCUGGAGCCAUGUCUGUCUGAAGUCUCAGGAGCUGGAAUGAGACGAGGUGGGUGUACUAAGUUUCUUAGGGAGGCCUGAGCAGCCAAAUUAGGCACAUGUAGGUUGAAUUAGAUUGGUCAGGUAGGAACACUGGAGCUGAAGGUAGGCAGAGGCAGAGUCGGAUCUAACAGGUGAGGACUGGAAGCCCUUGACCAGGUCCAGGUCAGAACUCUGUCCUCAGCCGGGGUCCGAGCAGUUCUGGUGACACGGAGGGUGAUGGUCCCAGAGACACCGUAAGUACCCUGGGGAAAGACUGAAAAGCUGGAGUUCGGUAAAGGGAUGGAAACCUGUAUCCAUCUGGAAGGUUUAUGAAUUCUGGCUCUAGCUCAGGUAUGUGGGGCAGGUCUCUCAGGUGGGGUUGGAGGAGUUGAGGUAAGAUACAGUUUUGUACUUUGGAGUCUCAGACAGGUAAGGUCUGAGCUGCUGAGGUCAGGCCCUGGUUUGUAUUCUGAAUCUGAAGAGCUGGGGUCAGGCACAGGUGGGUAGAGCUCAGGUUUUCAGGUAACAUCUAUGCCACCAGGGCAAGCAGAGGUAGGCUGACCUGGAAAGCCGCAGUUAGGUCAUGCGGCUCUGGUCGCGGUUCAGCUCAGGCCCCGGUGGGCAGGGCACACCUGUCAAGUGAAGCCUGAGGAGCCAGCAUUAGGCUCAUCUGGAAAGAACUGGGUCUCUUACAUGAUCUCUGAAGAUACGAAGUAAAGGCAGGUGGAGAGAAUUAGCUCUCUCGGGUGAGGUUUGAGGAGCCAGGGUUGGGUACAAGCGACUAGAUUUAGAUCUGUCAGGUAAGGUCACGAUAGGAAGGUAGAACCACAUCUCCACCUAUCUUUUAGAGAGAUCUGUGGGACUGGGGAGUGGCCAGGCACAGGUAUGUGGAAUUCGUUUCUCAGGUAAAGUCUAUGGAAUCUAGCACAGGUUGAAUGUAGGCAGGUCAUGUUGGCUUUUUCAGAUGUUGGAUUCAGGCAAAGGUACAGAGUUACAGACAGGUGGUAGGGCAGGGUUUGUUGGGUAAGGUCUACGGAGCCAGAUCUGGGCAGGUUCAUAAUAGCAGGCCCAGUGAAAUGUAAGUCACAGUCAAGCCCAGGUGAGAACUGAAUGUCUUAGAUGAGAUGUGAACAUCUGAGAUGAGGUUCAGGUGGGCAGAGCUAGCCCAGGUACAGUUCAGGAGCUAGGAAUAAACCCAGGUAGGUAGAACUGGCCUGCAGGUGUGGUCUGAGGAGCCAAGGUCAAGCACAGGUGGGUAAAACUAGCUCACCGUGUGAGAUCUGAGAAACAAAGUCACACCUAGGUAGGCAGAGCUGGUCUACCAGAGUGGUUGGAGGAGCCAGGAUUGGAAACAGGCGAAGCUGGCCUGCCAAGCAUAGUUUAAGAAGCCAAGGUCAAGCAUAGGUAGGUAGAACUGGCUGAAUAGGUGAGUUUGGAAGAGCCUCACAGACAGGUAGGCAGAGCUAGCCUGCCAAGAGUGGUUGGAGGAACUGGGGUCAAGCGCAGGUAGGCAGAGUUGGCCUGCCAGGUGUGAUCACAGGUAGGCAGAACUGGCCUACCAGGUGAGGUUGAAAGAGCUAUGGUCAGAGACAGGCAGAGAUGGCCUGUCUGGUAUGCUCUGAGGACCCAGACUCAAGCACAGGUGGGCAGAGCUGGCCCACCAGGUGAGGUCUGAGGAGCCAGGAUCAAGCACAGGUAGGUGGAACUGGCCUGUCAGGUGAGGUUAGUAAUCAGGAUCAAGCACACGUAGGCAGAGCUGAGACGUGAGGAGUCAAGGUCAGGUACAGACAGGUAUGUAGACCCGGUCUGUCCCUGCGUGGUCUGGAGCCUGUCUCUGACAGGUGUGUAUGUAACCCUGCAGUCUGAGGUAUUGCAGUAGAACACAUACAAGCAGAGCUGUCCUCCCAGGGUAGGACAAGGUGAGUGGAACUGGCCCACAAGGUGUGAUCUGAGGUGCCAGGGUCAAGCGCAGGUAGGCAGAGCUGGCCCACCAGGUGAGGUCUGAGGCUCCAGGGUCAAGCACAGGUAGGUGGAACUGGCCUGUCAGGUGAGGUGUGAGGAAUCAGGAUUAAGCACAGGUGGGUGGAACUGGCCCACCAGGUGUGGUCUGAGGCUCAAGCACAGGUAGGCAGAGCUAGCCCACCAGGUGAGGUCUGAGGCUCCAGGGUCAAUCAAGCACAGGUAGGUGGAAUGCCCACCAGGUGAGGUCUGAGGAGCCAGGGUCAAGCACAGGUAGGUAGAGCUAGCCCACCAGGUGAGGUCUGAGGCUCCAGGGCCAAGCACAGGUAGGUGGAAUGCCCACCAGGUGAGGUCUGAGGAGCUAGGAUCAAGCACAGGUAGGUGGAAUGCCCACCAGGUGAGGUCUGAGGCUCCAGGGUCAAGCACAGGUAGGUGGAAUGCGCACCAGGUGAGGUGUGAGGAGCCAGUGUCAAGUACAGGUAGGUAGAGCUGGCCCACCAGGUGCAGUUGGGAGAGCCAUGGUCAGAGACAGGUAGGCAGAGCUGGGCUGUCAGGUGAGAUUUCAGGAGCCAGGGUCAAGCACAUGUAGGCAAAGCUGCCCCACCAGGUAUGGUUUAAGGACCCAAUGUCAGGCCACAAGUAGGUGUAGUCUGAGGAGUCAAGGUCAAGCACAGGUAUGCAGAGCUGGCCCAUCAGCUGCAGUAUAAGGAGCCAGAGCAUGUACGAGUCUGCCAAGCUGGCCCGUCAGGAGCCUUAGGACCUAGGGUCAGACACAGGCAGGUAGUGCUGGCCCACCAGCUGUGGUGUAAGGAGCCAGGGGCAGGUAAGUAGGCAGAUCUGGCCUGCCUGGUGUGGUAUGAGGAGCCAGGGUCAGAGGCAGGUAGGCAAAGCCUAUCUGCCAAGUGUACUGGUCUCGAGGAAGCCUAAGGAGUUAGGGUUGAGUAUAGGCAGAUCAUGUUGGCUUUUUCAGAUGUUGGACUCAGGCAAAGGUAUGGACCCCUGGGUCUUCAUGGAGAGGCCUGAAGUGGAUUGAGCAGCCUCCCAAGUCAGGCCCACAACACUGGGUUUUUCCUUAGGUAGGAAGAACACAGUGGGGCUCGUAGGAAGUCCGUGGACCCUAAAUUAGACACAAGUAGGUAGAUGUGGCUCUCUCAGCAAGGACUUUGGAGCCAGAGGUCUGUCAACCAGAGUCUUGCGAGUAAAGUCCUUGGAGCAUGGUUCUGGUGUAGGUGUGUUGACCCAGGUCUUAAGAGUUUAGGCCUAGGGAACAUGGGUCAGUCACAGGUAGGUAGAACCACAUGUUCAGGUGGGGUCUGGAGCACAGGUGUGUAGGGAGGGUCACACUGCCUGAAGUGUGAGGCUUCUCAGUCCCAGGCUAAGCAGGGGUUGUUAGCGUUGGGUUGUGUGCAAAGUAUGACAAGCCGUGUCAGACACGGGAUACAGACCUGGGUCUCAAGUGGGGCCUGGGAGCCAAAGUCAGGCCCAUGUAGAUAAAGCUGGGUCACUCGGGAAGGUGUGCAGAGACUGAGUUGGGCUUGGAGAGGUGAGCCUGGGUCUGUCACUUGAGACGUGAGGAGUCAAGGUCAGGCACAAACCGGUAUGUAGACCUGGUCUAUCCCCGCAUGGUCUGGAGCCUGUCUCUGACAGGUGUGUACGUAACCCUGCAGUCUGAGGUACUGCAGUAGAACACAUACAAGCAGAGCUGUCCUCCCAGGGUCACAUGGCAGUGGUACAUAAAUGUAAUUUAUAUGUUCUUGCCACUUGGCUUCAGGUAUAAAUUGGCAUUCCUGGCCUUGUUAGGUGAAAUUAGUAGGCAAGAUCUAGCCCAGAAAUAUAUUUGGUGUGGCUGGAGAGACCUGAGAAGGUGAGUCAGACACAGGUGGGAUCUUUGGUGGUAGGAUCAGGCACAGUUAGGUGGGUAACGGGCUGUCAUCAAGGGAAAGCCAGAGGCAGCCUAGGCAUGUGUAUGUGGGUCUGCCUGGGGAGAGCUCAAGAACCGUUAGGAUCAGGUAGAAUGGAUAGUAAGCCCUGAGCCAACCACCUGGUCUCAGCACCCUGGUGAGGUGUGAUGGGCGGAGCUCAGGCUAUUACAGAGGUCUGAGGAUCUGCAACCAGUCUAAGGUGGUGGACCGGAGUUGGUGGCACAGGAUCUGCGUUAUCCAGGUCAGGAAAAAGAUAAGAUUAUACCUGGUUAGAUAAAAUGAAGUCAAGGCCCUGGGCAGGUGAGAUAUAGAAUGUCUAACUGACUGAGGAGCUGCAUCUGUAAGGUGUGAUCUUAGAAGCCCAUGGCGGGUAUAGGUGAGGCCUAGAGACCUGUCUGCAAGUUAGGGUCUCAGAGGCUCAAGUCAGACAUAGGCAUUGCUGGGCUCUCCCCGAAGUGAGGCCUGACGACCUGGCCUCAGUCCAGGGCAGCAGCGUAGAAUCCACCAGUCUGAGGGCUGACUGGCUGCUUAGUCCAGUUUCUAGAAUUGAGUCAGGUGAGAUCUGAGAGCCUAGGUCAGGCAUGUGUGGCCCUGUGUGACUGUAUCUGUCAGGUAAGUUUCCCCAAAAUCUGUAGUCAAAUUCUGUUCCCCUGAGCUAUACCCCGAAGGUUCCCCCAAAUCUGGGCCCUUUCCGGGUGAAGAGACUGAGCCAGAAACCUCCAGGCUAAGCUUGAGUCUCAUUCUUCCCGUUGAUGCUGUUCGGUUGAAGCCCCUGAGUCAGCCCUUGGUACUCCCCAUCCAGGGUAGCAGUAUUUUCUGGAUGACCACUAGGACUCCGAAGUUGUCUCCUGCUUCCCUUCUCACCUCACCUGCAUCCUUCUUGGUUCUCCAGCCAUACCUCUCAGCCUCUGGCCUCCAGUCCUCACUCCUUCCUCCAUCUUCUGCAUUGUGUUGUGCCUCCUCCUGCUUCCAGUAGAGAAUUAAGCCCUAAUGCCCCAAGACAUCAAUUAGAUGUAAAGGAUCAGCAUCUCUCGUAUAUACCCAGAAGGGUACUGCCCUUGGGAGAACUGAGAGGUCACUGAAUUGAGUCAUUCUCUGUGGGGUGUAAUUCUCUCACAGUUGAAAAAGGCUGCUCUUGCCACAGGACCUUUGUAUAUGCUCUUCUGGCUGCUGAAAUGCCUCUCCCUCAGUGUUUCCCUGGUAAUGCCUGCUCAUUCUUCAGAUCCAGACUCUAGCACACCUCACAUUCCUUUUAUAAUUAGUUUCAGUACUGUAUUUCCUUUCUCCCAAGCACUUUGUCUCAUUUUCACAUUUAUUGGCCUGAUGAUUUCAUCUACAUCUCUCUCCUCCAGGGACUAUUUCUGUGGCCUGUGCUAGGAAUGUGGUAGGUGCUCUGUAAAUAGUUGUUAGGAAGAUAUAAAUGGAGCUCUGAGGAUUCUGAUGAUACAAAGUGGAGUCUGCAAGUGUGACAUGAGAAGGCACAGUGUGGAUGGUAAGCCUAGGUGUGUCUUGGGCCUGAGGCUGAGAGGAUAGGUCAA